AGCCAGCUGGCCUAGUGGUUUGAUCGUUGGACUCUGACUCUGCAGACCAGAGUUGGAAUCCCUGCUCGGCCA
Molecule: non-coding RNA, 72 nt
Organism: Phrynosoma platyrhinos (Desert horned lizard)
Lineage: Eukaryota; Metazoa; Chordata; Lepidosauria; Squamata; Phrynosomatidae
Source: the annotation of a GenBank genome assembly